AUUUACAUUAAUAAAUUUGUUGUGCAAUUCAAUAUAACUUGAAAUAAUUAUCUAAUUUUUAUUUUUUUUCUCAUUUUUUAAAAAAAUUAUUUUGUUUUUUAGUAUUUUUUGAAUUAAUAUAUUUUUAUUAUAGUUUAUUUUACUGUAAAGGAUUUAUUUAUAUUUUGUUUAAGUAUUUUUUGUUUAAUGUACCUUUUGCAUCAGGGUUUAUCAAAUUAAUAAAAUUAUUUUAUUUUCUCGAAAUUUUGGGAUUUAAACUUUAAUGAUUUUUAUUGUAACAAAAAUAUUUUUAAUUAUGGUUUAGAUGUUAUAUGCUUUUCAUCCAAAAUGAUAUCUAGUUUAUUGAUAAAUGAAUUUAAUUCAUUCUUAAAAAGCUUAUUUUACUUUAAUUAUUUUAUGUUUUUUAGGUUAAAUUCGAUAGGGAUAAGCUUAUCUUAUUUUUUAAAACUUUUUUUUAUUAAGAUUUCUAAUAGGAUUGAAAAUUUCUAUUUUUUAUUUUUUUAUAAUUAUAUUUCUUUUUUUAUUAUUUUUUAUCGUUUAAUUUUUUAUCAUUAUUUUUUAUUUUAAUUUAUUUUUUUUCUAAUAAUGAUAAAAUUAGUAAUUUUUAUAAUUUUAAAAUAGUAACUCGGCAAAAUUAAUUUUCACCUGUUUAACAAAAACAUGGUCUUUCGUUUUAUAUAUAAGAUCAGGCCUGCCCAUUGAUUUUUGAAAAUUAAAAGGCUGCGGUAUUUUAACUGUACUAAGGUAGCAUAAUCAUUUGUCUUUUAAUUGAAGGCUAGUAUGAAUGGUUUGAUGAAAAAUUAACUUUCUUUUUUAAAUUAUUACGAACUUAAUUUUUUAGUUAAAAAGCUAAAAUUUUUUUAUAGGACGAGAAGACCCUAUAGAAGUUUACUUUUUAUAGUAAAAUUGAAUUUUAGUUUAUAUAUUUUUUUUAUAAAUUAAAAGUUUUGUUGGGGUGAUAUUAAAAUUUAUUUAACUUUUAAUUAUUAUUUCAUUUAUUUAUGUUUUAUUGAUCCAUAUUAUUUUGAUUAAAAGAUUAACUUACCUUAGGGAUAACAGCGUAAUUUUUUUGGAGAGUUCAUAUCGAUAAAAAAGCUUGCGACCUCGAUGUUGAAUUAAGAUUAGAUUUGGGGGUAAAAUUUCAAUUUUCUUGGUCUGUUCGACCAUUAAAUUCUUACAUGAUUUGAGUUCAGACCGGCGUAAGCCAGGUCGGUUUCUAUCCUUAUUUUAUAUAAAUUAGUACGAAAGGACCAUUUAUAUUAAUUAAAUUAUUUUUUUUGA
RNAcentral lists this ribosomal RNA (1281 nucleotides) under Microvelia americana. RNAcentral describes it as "partial 16S ribosomal RNA". The stretch from base 1052 to 1211 matches the Rfam family "Archaeal large subunit ribosomal RNA", at positions 2544 to 2703 of the family's 2987-position model. Lineage: Eukaryota; Metazoa; Arthropoda; Insecta; Hemiptera; Veliidae. The record is from RNAcentral.